This 397-nucleotide ribosomal RNA is filed under the name uncultured bacterium. RNAcentral describes it as "bacterial SSU rRNA". It matches the Rfam family "Bacterial small subunit ribosomal RNA", at positions 355 to 769 of the family's 1533-position model. The record is from RNAcentral.
UGGGGAAUAUUGCGCAAUGGGGGAAACCCUGACGCAGCCAUGCCGCGUGAGUGAAGAAGGUCUUCGGAUCGUAAAGCUCUUUCAACGGUGAAGAUGAUGACGGUAGCCGUAGAAGAAGCCCCGGCUAACUUCGUGCCAGCAGCCGCGGUAAUACGAAGGGGGCAAGCGUUGUUCGGAAUUACUGGGCGUAAAGGGCGUGUAGGCGGUCUAAUCAGUCAGUGGUGAAAGCCCUGGGCUCAACCCAGGAAUUGCCUUUGAUACUGUUAGACUAGAGUUCGGGAGAGGAUAGUGGAAUUCCGAGUGUAGAGGUGAAAUUCGUAGAUAUUCGGAGGAACACCAGUGGCGAAGGCGGCUCACUGGCUCGAUACUGACGCUGAGGUGCGAAAGUGUGGGGAGC